GUCAAAGACUUCUCUUGUCUGAAGACACUGACAGGAACUGAGCUGCUGGAGAUGUCAUAUCAGAGUUCACCUGCUGAGGUUGAGAUGACAUGUUUUUACACUGUAAAGCUUGGAGAGUCACAUUACCUAUCUCCACACAGUGACACAUCCUCCGUCACCAUACACAGUGACACAUCCUCCGUCACCAUACACAGUGACACAUCCUCUGUCACCAUACACAGUGAUACAUCCUCCGUCACCAUACACAGUGACACAUCCUCCGUCACCAUACACAGUGACACAUCCUCCGUCACCAUACACAGUGACACAUCCUCCGUCACCAUACACACUCUAAAACCUGAGGUGAGUCUUCAGCAUUUUCCUGGUGAAUACGUUUUCAUGACCUGCACUCUGCCUGGAUCUGCUCAUGAAGAUACGAGAUGUAACCUUUACUUUGGAGAAGAAAGGGAUCCAUUUCAAACAACAACCAUCUUGAAGCAAAGGACCUCAAAGAAUCAGAGGUUCUGCCAGUUUACUGUCACAAUUUCUGAUUUGCUUACCCGUCUCCAUUUUCCUCAAAGAAGCGUCACCAGCUGUGAUUACAGUUUGGGAAGUGAACCAAACUCUUUGUCUCCUCGUAGUGAUGGAUACCGCUUGACUGAUAUUGUGGAAAGAGAAUCAAGCGCUCCCUUCACAAAACCAGUAUUUCCUAUGACCACAGAUUUGAUUGUUGGCAGACCCGGUGCUUCUGCAACUCCUGUGAAACUGGAAUCAGAUAUUGUGGACAAAGAGACACACUCCACACAGACUAUGGCGACAUCUACUAUGACCACAGGUAGGACUGUUAGCAGGCUCCAUGCCUCCACACCUAUAACUCGGACCAAACGAACGUUAGGUCAGAAUGUUGGAUCCAGCAACACUGGUAGUUUCAUCUCUACUUCUAUCACACCAGUGAAACCAACAUCAGCAGAAACAUGGACAUGGAACUUGGUAGUAGUUGCAGCGUGUCUUGGAGGUGUCAUCUUACUGGGCCUAGCACUUCUCUUUACCAAAAGAAGAACUGAAAGAUGUUCUAGCAAAAGGACACAAGCUGAUGCCACUGAUGACUUAAUGUGCAUGAGAGAGCUUAACCAUGGAGGAUCAGUAAUUAAAAAAUGUUUUCUCUGUCAGAUGUAG
RNAcentral lists this long non-coding RNA (1155 nucleotides) under Cottoperca gobio. Its description in RNAcentral is "lncRNA (ENSCGOG00000023311.1)". Lineage: Eukaryota; Metazoa; Chordata; Actinopteri; Perciformes; Bovichtidae. The record is from RNAcentral.